GGGGUUGUGGCUCAGAGGUAGAGCACUCACCUAGCAUGUGUGAGGCACUGUGUUCAAUCCUCAGCACCUCA
RNAcentral lists this transfer RNA (71 nucleotides) under Marmota marmota marmota (Alpine marmot). It matches the Rfam family "tRNA". From Rfam's summary of the family: Transfer RNA (tRNA) molecules are approximately 80 nucleotides in length. Their secondary structure includes four short double-helical elements and three loops (D, anti-codon, and T loops). RNAcentral also lists the same sequence under 1 other name. The record is from Rfam by way of RNAcentral. Lineage: Eukaryota; Metazoa; Chordata; Mammalia; Rodentia; Sciuridae.